AACGCGAAGAACCUUACCUGGACUUGACAUCGUCUGCAUAUCUAAGAGAUUAGAGGAACCCUUCGGGGCAGAUAGACAGGUGGUGCAUGGUUGUCGUCAGCUCGUGUCGUGAGAUGUUAGGUUAAGUCCUGCAACGAGCGCAACCCUUAUCAUUAGUUGCUACCAUUAAGUUGAGCACUCUAAUGAGACUGCCCGGGUUAACCGGGAGGAAGGUGGGGAUGACGUCAAAUCAUCAUGCCCCUUAUGUCCAGGGCUACACACGUGCUACAAUGGUGAGUACAAUUAGAAGCGAACCCGCGAGGGGGAGCAAAACUGAAAAACUCAUCCCAGUUCGGAUUGCAGGCUGCAACUCGCCUGCAUGAAGCCGGAGUUGCUAGUAAUCGCGAAUCAGCAUGUCGCGGUGAAUACGUUCCCGGGCCUUGUACACACCG
This 431-nucleotide ribosomal RNA is filed under the name uncultured Eubacteriales bacterium. Its description in RNAcentral is "bacterial SSU rRNA". It matches the Rfam family "Bacterial small subunit ribosomal RNA", at positions 958 to 1392 of the family's 1533-position model. Lineage: Bacteria; Bacillati; Bacillota; Clostridia; Eubacteriales. The record is from RNAcentral.